CCUACGGGAGGCAGCAGUGGGGAAUAUUGCGCAAUGGGCGAAAGCCUGAAGCAGCGACGCCGCGUGAGGGAUGAAGGUCCUCGGGUCGGAAACCUCCGUCAGCAGGGAAGAAAGGUCACUGUGCUAAGCAGCAGUGAAUUGACGGUACCUGCAAAGGAAGCACUAGCUAACUCCGUGCGAGCCGCUGCGGUAAUACGGAGGGUGCGAGCGUUAAUCGGAAUUACUGGGCGUAAAGCGCGCGUAGGCUGUCUGUCAAGUCAAGAGUGAAAUCCCCGCGCUCCACGUGGGAACGGCCGUUGAAACUGGCAGACUUGAGUUGGUGAGAGGCUAGUGGAAUUCCUGGUGUAGCGGUGAAAUCCGUAGAUAUCUGGAGGAAC
Molecule: ribosomal RNA, 377 nt
Filed under: uncultured bacterium
Lineage: Bacteria
Description: partial 16S ribosomal RNA
Rfam family: Bacterial small subunit ribosomal RNA
Source: RNAcentral